Molecule: long non-coding RNA, 1292 nt
Organism: Cercocebus atys (sooty mangabey)
Lineage: Eukaryota; Metazoa; Chordata; Mammalia; Primates; Cercopithecidae
Exons: 8
Source: RefSeq, a predicted model, not a curated record
UUUAUCCUUCCAGUCAUGCUGGAGACUUCCAAAGCUGCUUCUCCACCUGGGAUGUGAUGUGAAGCUGUGGACACGUGUGUCGAUUCGACAACUAAUCUUCACCACGUUAAUGUGUCACGUUGGGCUUCAACCUCAAUAUGUCCUGAAAUGACCUCAGAAUGCCCACAUCCCUCCAAACACCGCAUUCUUGAAUUCCAUCCAGAAUGCCACACUACAUUUACUCAUCAAAAUGCAACUUGUUAAAGUUGUAUCUCAUGGAACAUUUACCAAAAUUGAUCAUAUGCUGGGCUAUAAAAUAAAGCAACUGAGGCUCGGUGAACUUGUAAUGCCUUUAGUGUCAGAGAUCUAGAAUGGGUGAAGCCCAGAUUCAGACCCAGGCGUCGUGGCUCCCAAGUCUGCUUGUGGACCCUUGAAAGCAAGGGCGAGCCAUAAGCAUUGCACCUUUGAGAGAACUGCAAGUGUGGAAUUGGCCCCAAACUCAGAGUCCGUCUGGGUACUCAGUCCUGUGUCAGUUUAAUGUUGGUGUCCUUCUUGACCUCCUCCUAUAGACUUUGUGUUGCCUUAGACUUAGGAAUCUUGUCCUUGGCGGAUGGGACAGUGAACUCAGUCUUCAUCCACUGACUUGAGGAUUUAGUAGCUCUUGAUUCGGAUCCAAGAACCACACUAUGAGCUAAGUAAUCAGGCUUCCUGCUUUAUGAGCUAAACAUGUAUAUGUAUAUAAUAUGUAUAUAUUGUAUAUGUAUGUAUAUUUUAUAUAUAUAUGUAGUUGAACAACAUGAGUUUGAGCUAUGCAGGCCCACCUAUGUGUUGAUUUUCUUCCACUUUUGCUACCCAUGAGAUGGCGGACCAAAGCCUCUUCUUCCUCCUCCUCUCAGCCUGCUCAACAUGAAGAUGAUGAGGAUGAAGGCUUUAUGAUGAUCCACUUCCGUUUAAUGAAUAGGCUUUCAAUGGAAAGAGGCCAUGUUCCCUGUCUGGGUAGACAAGGGGCCAGUGAAAAGAGAACAGAAAGAGCUCCUGUAUCAGCUAAGAAGGCCUCCAUUUGAGCCAACGCUAUUCCCAAUCAGCCUUGUCUGAUCCCAGAAUGGCUCUUCUGAGAACAGGAAGGUUUUCAAUUCUUCCUACCACACCAACCAGUCUCAGAGAGAAACCAAAUCAACGAUCUGUCAGACUCCUACCGCACAUUAGAAGAAAACAAAUGAAACAAAUGUUUUGAAGAUGUCUCCAGAGGUGCCCAGUAGAAGGGGGUGGGAAUGGAGAUGUAAGCGAGGAAAUGGUCUGUUUUGUGCCUUGAA